UCCUUUCAAUCCUCCUCCUCCCCACCGCACGUGCACUGACCAGCCGGUGGCGGGCGGCCUCAGUGCUGGACUGCACUGCCCACAUCUGCAUCUCGUGGAGCCCUCAACCCUCAGGCACUCUAUACUCCACACUCUUUCCGAGCACAGAGCGUGCGGUGUGAGAUUGGGCGGCGCGGAUGCGCACGCAAGAGCCUGGUCAGGCAGCGCGUGCGUGCGGGGCCGUCACCAACCGGCGCCGGCAGCAGCACUGCAGGAGCAGGCGGCAGGUGUUGGCACGUGGGCAAACGACGUGAACGGCAACCUAGCAGAAGCAAGCAGCAGGAGGAAGCAGCGGCAACACCGGCCGCAAUAACCGAGGAAUCAUCCGAUAUAGGGGAUACUAAAGAAACCGUGGCAAAUCAAGUAACUGAAGUGAUGAUAGAUAUAGACAAGGUAGAUGAGCAUCAGCCUGUGGACGUAGAGAAAGAAGUCUUUGUUCUGUCAAAAGUGAGCUUCGGUUUUGUUCAGUGCCACCGAAAAACCGAACCAAGAAAGUGAUAUUUUUGGUGUCAGUUUUUGGUUUUCUGGAAGAACGAUCAGUUUUAAAUUUCAAAAAAUUGAAUGGCCAGUCCUAUCUGCCAUCCAACGUCAACAACAGACUCAGAGAGACUCACGAAUGCAGGGCUGGGCGGCCGGGUAGCUGCAGCUCGUGUUCAAUGACGGGACCUUGGAGCUCAAGGCAAACACCACCAGCGGUUGGAUUAAACACCUUUUGGGGGCCGGCGCCCGCGCUACAAGAUUCAACAGUUUUACCGAGAGUUUGAGUUGAGUGGGCGAGAGGGAUCAAUUUGUUUAAUAUUUAUCUUCUCUAAUGGACGACACUAGCGGAAAUCGACUAUA
Molecule: long non-coding RNA, 879 nt
Organism: Panicum virgatum (switchgrass)
Lineage: Eukaryota; Viridiplantae; Streptophyta; Magnoliopsida; Poales; Poaceae
Exons: 2
Source: RefSeq, a predicted model, not a curated record